AACACAUGCAAGUCGAACGAUGAAGGAGCUUGCUCCUGGAUUAGUGGCGAACGGGUGAGUAACACGUGAGUAACCUGCCCUUGACUCUGGGAUAAGCGUUGGAAACGACGUCUAAUACCGGAUAUGACCUGUGACGGCAUCGUCUGCAGGUGGAAAGAAUUUUGGUCAAGGAUGGACUCGCGGCCUAUCAGGUAGUUGGUGAGGUAACGGCUCACCAAGCCGACGACGGGUAGCCGGCCUGAGAGGGUGACCGGCCACACUGGGACUGAGACACGGCCCAGACCCCUACGGGAGGCAGCAGUGGGGAAUAUUGCACAAUGGGCGAAAGCCUGAUGCAGCAACGCCGCGUGAGGGACGACGGCCUUCGGGUUGUAAACCUCUUUUAGUUGGGAAGAAGGGAGCUUGCUCUUGACGGUACCAGCAGAAAAAG
This 430-nucleotide ribosomal RNA is filed under the name grassland soil clone sl3_605. Its description in RNAcentral is "bacterial SSU rRNA". It matches the Rfam family "Bacterial small subunit ribosomal RNA", at positions 50 to 490 of the family's 1533-position model. The record is from RNAcentral.